UACGGAGGGUGCAAGCGUUGCUCGGAAUUAUUGGGCGUAAAGCGUGAGUAGGCGGUCUUGUUUGUCCUGGGUGAAAGCCCGAGGCUCAACCUCGGAAGUGCCCUGGAAACGGCAAGACUAGAGUCCUAGAGAGGGUCGCGGAAUUCCCGGUGUAGCGGUGAAAUGCGUAGAGAUCGGGAGGAACACCAGAGGCGAAAGCGGCGGCCUGGAUAGGUACUGACGCUCAACCACGAAAGCGUGGGGAUCAAACAGG
RNAcentral lists this ribosomal RNA (253 nucleotides) under uncultured bacterium. RNAcentral's name for it is "partial 16S ribosomal RNA". It matches the Rfam family "Bacterial small subunit ribosomal RNA", at positions 524 to 776 of the family's 1533-position model. The record is from RNAcentral.